RNAcentral lists this ribosomal RNA (253 nucleotides) under uncultured bacterium. RNAcentral's name for it is "partial 16S ribosomal RNA". It matches the Rfam family "Bacterial small subunit ribosomal RNA", at positions 524 to 776 of the family's 1533-position model. The record is from RNAcentral.
UACAGAGGUCUCAAGCGUUGUUCGGAUUCAUUGGGCGUAAAGGGUGCGUAGGCGGCGCGGUAAGUCGGGUGUGAAAUCUCGGGGCUUAACUCCGAAACUGCAUUCGAUACUGUCGUGCUUGAGGACUGGAGAGGAGACUGGAAUUUACGGUGUAGCGGUGAAAUGCGUAGAUAUCGUAAGGAAGGCCAGUGGCGAAGGCGGGUCUCUGGACAGUUCCUGACGCUGAGGCACGAAGGUCAGGGGAGCAAACGGG